RNAcentral lists this ribosomal RNA (253 nucleotides) under uncultured bacterium. Its description in RNAcentral is "partial 16S ribosomal RNA". It matches the Rfam family "Bacterial small subunit ribosomal RNA", at positions 524 to 776 of the family's 1533-position model. The record is from RNAcentral.
UACAGAGGGAGCUAGCGUUGUUCGGAAUUACUGGGCGUAAAGCGCGCGUAGGCGGCCCGAUAAGUCCGCUGUGAAAGUCCAGGGCUCAACCCUGGGAUGCCGGUGGAUACUGUCGGGCUCGAGUCCGGAAGAGGAGUGUGGAAUUCCUGGUGUAGCGGUGAAAUGCGUAGAUAUCGGGAGGAACACCAGUGGCGAAGGCGACUACCUGGCCUGUUCUUGACGCUGAGGCGCGAAAGCUAGGGGAGCAAACGGG